CCUACGGGGUGCAGCAGUGAGGAAUAUUGGUCAAUGGACGAGAGUCUGAACCAGCCAAGUAGCGUGAAGGAUGACUGCUCUCUGGGUUGUAAACUUCUUUUAUAUGGGAAUAAAACGUUCCACGUGUGGGAUUUUGUAUGUACCAUAUGAAUAAGGAUCGGCUAAUUCCGUGCCAGCAGCCGCGGUAAUCCGGAGUAUCCGGGCGUUAUCCGGAUUUAUUGGGUUUAAAGGGAGCGUAGAUGGCUUGUUAAGUCAGUUGUGAAAGUUUGCGGCUCAACCGUAAAAUUGCAGUUGAAACUGGCAGUCUGGAGUACAGGAGAGGUAGGCGGAAGUCGUGGUGUAGCGGUGAAAUGCUUAGAUAUCACGAAGAACUCCGAUUGCGAAGGCAGCUCACUGGACUGCAACUGACACUGAGGCUCGAAAGUGUGGGUAUCAAACAGGAUUAGAUACCCUAGUAGUC
This 460-nucleotide ribosomal RNA is filed under the name uncultured bacterium. Its description in RNAcentral is "partial 16S ribosomal RNA". It matches the Rfam family "Bacterial small subunit ribosomal RNA", at positions 338 to 795 of the family's 1533-position model. The record is from RNAcentral.